CGUUGGAUGCAAUUACAUGGUACAGAUUUUACUCCCGCUUUUCCCCUGAACCGUUGGUUGAGAUAAUUACUUUUCUCACUUCUUCCUUCUCUAGAUAGUCUAUGACAAUUGGGACCGAAAGGGUGAGGGGCCGCGAGCAGAGGCAGCGACCCGUAAGUUUUUGUGUCGCUCGUUUUCGUGCCGAGCGGUGAAACCCUAGAUCUCACCGUGGCCAAUAGCUCCUCCGUUCGCUUCCUCCUCCUCCUCCUCCUCCUUCCCAAUCCCCGUCUCCCCUCCUCCCCAAUCCACUGCCGACUCUCUCCCCCGCUCCAGCCACACGUGAGGCCGGAGAGGGCACUCCCACGCGCUGGAGGAGCGCAUCCCGAGCCUCCGCCCCGACUGCUCUCCGCGAAGCCUCUUUCUCGUUGCGCGGCGGCGGCGAUGGAGGCUGCCCAGCUGCCAUCUUCGGUGGAUGCAGCAGCCUAGCGACAUCAGAUCUGACGGAGAGGCAAAGCCGACGGUGGCAUGGAGCGGGUUGUGCUCUUCCUGGUUUGGAGAGGAUACGGGAGGAGGAGGGUGCGAGAGGCGCUCCUCUCAUUUUCCCUGGAUGGGCUGACCUCUUUCCCCAGCGCAGGCAGCGGCGCCCGACGCGGCAGCGUGAGGGAUGGACCACACGUCAACGCGGAGCAGCAGCACGCCCUGGAUGCGAGCUCAUCCGUUUCCUGUGACGCCAUGCUGCUGGCCAAGUAGGGCAGGGCACUUUUUAGGAUGACAGGCUGCUCCUGCAAGAAAACGAGGACAAUAGCAUCACUCCCACAUGAAUUGGUACUGAUAUGGAUGCUGAAGCACUUAAUUACCGUAUGUCGAGUGGCUCAAGAGACAGAAGAUGUACCUCAAAGAAUCUGUCCCAAAAACUGACAGUUGCUUGAAGCAUUUUUGGUUCAUGACACCUUCAUGAUAGGACCAUUAUCUGGUUGAAAUAUCUGGUAGACUAUCAGGUUAAAUUACCAAUGAGGUUGAUGCUAUUGUUUCCUGAAAUGGUACCAUUGGAAUGGAUCAGCUGCAUUGGUAGCGAUGACUGCAAAGCUGCGAUUUUAUCUCCAUUUGCUCUAGACUAUGGCACUGUAGUGAUCUGAAAGGAAGACUUUAUUUCCAAGCUGCGGGUACUGCCAGCUGUGGCCAUCGAUGCUGGGAGCGGCGAUGAUGGUGCGGCGGGGCCAAAGGUGCUGCCAGGGACAGAAACAUUGCUGCAAGCGACAUGCGACAGUGCUGCCAAAGACGGCCAGGGAUACUACGAGAGGCAGGUGGGGGUGCUACCAGCGGUGGCCGGUGAUGCUAAGAGCAUGCUAUAUUUCUGUGCGUGUGUUGAGUUGUCCGUGUGGGUUCACGCUUUCUCCAGCAGAAAGUACGAUUGGGUGGAGGAGUCAAGUGCGGAUCAGCUGGCUAUGAGAGACUCGAUUUUACUGCAGAAGGUGGAGGAAUUGGGUUUACGAUUUCCUGAAAGACGCCAUCCAUUAAUAUAGUGAGAUUGUUCCUAUUCACAACGAGACCAAUGAUGGUCAGUUAUCUGGGCGUGAAGUUUAGCUGGCUUGUUGAAAAUCAUUAUGACAGUUCUGAUGCACCCUGUUGUUCGCUUAGAGCUGGUGUUGAUCCAUAACAACUGAUGUUAUAUUUAGUGCUAAACGAUAUGUAAUAUAAAUACAUGUUUUUUCUCCUAAUGUGCUUAUGAAACUGAAUGUGCAAACAUUUUCUUAUUUAGUAAUAUUUUUCUCUGCCUAGAACUUCUAAUUUAUGUCCGAUGUCAGUUCCAUAUAUUUAGGUGUUUGUGAUUUGUUAAACUAUGUAUUCAAUCUUAAUAUGAACUAAUGAGCAAUGCAAUUAAUGCAUGUGAUUAGUCUGAUGGAUCUUUCGUGUAUUAGUAUCUGCCUUUAUACAAGGCUUCGUUGAAAUAAAAUCAUGUUAUGUGUUCCUUGACAUACUAUAUCAGGUAUGAUGCAGCCUGGAGACAAGACUUUGCAAGCUUCUGUACAUGCCAAUAGAGUAUGUCAGAUCUACUUCUCUAAUGUCUAGGAUCCACUAGCUUUUCAGGGUUCAUGCUACUUGCUGCAGAUGGUGUUCCCACGAUUGUCUGGCAUGGUGGAUCCAAUCCAAUCAUCAGUCUGUUUUAUGCAACAUUGUUACCUGCAGAACGGCACUGAUGAACCUUGACUAAAUUUCCGUAGACUAUGCAUAUUACCAACGUUGUCGUAAUAAUAUUGUUGUAACUAUUACUCAGCUCUGUAAUCUUGCUGAUUUGAUGUGGUUAGUGUAGUAGUAAAUCUUGCAGCCACCAACUGAUGCUUUUGAGGUUUAACUUUUGCUUCUUUCUUGGGUAGGUUGGUAUAAAGGUGAAGAACUUCAAGGCCUUGUUGGUUUGCAAGGUGCUGGUUGUUGAUGCGAGCUUAUUUGGAGCCUCCAGAUUAUCCCGGGCAUCAUCAAAAGGAUGGCAGCAAUGGACUUUGUCAUGGAUCUGAGCAAAAAGAAGAGUCCUGGGGAGGUGAUUUGUAGGAAGGAGGCGACCAGUACUGGUCAAAACUGUUGUGUUUGGUAGAAUAGGUGCCAUUGAAUGUUACUCCCAGUUGCCUAUCAUGUAGGCAUUUUGAGGUACUCAUAGCAUCUACAGAGUGGGCCAAUAUUCGAAAAGAGCACAAGACUUGAGGAUUUGAGCAUGCUUGUAGGCUAGAAGCAUCACCUUCAGACUUCGUCACUUGUUGACAGUCUAAAAUUGACCCUGAACUCAUAUGGGCACUUGCUAAGCAAGAUGUCAAAGACAAGCACCAGCUGAAGAAAAUACAGCCGGUAAAGGCACCAACGAAGGAAAACCUUCAGGCGUCAAACAUGAUGGAAGGAUGUUGGAUGGUCAGCUUCUACUUACUCAUUUCCCUGUGGGUGGCGGCGGCAGUGACGACUUGGUUGGAGGGGAUGCGGUAGGAGGAGGGCGCAAAGGGGCGGGAGGGGUGGCCGCCGGGGAGGCGGAGCUGUGCCGGCCACUGCAAGUGAGGAAGAGGAUGGAGCUUGGUGCAGCAGAAGGGGAGAGCCUCAAGGGGUUGGAGCGACGACUACUCCGCCCUCGCCAGCUUCCGCCGCCGCUCCUCCCUUGCGCAGCCCGUCCACGGGUUCGGGCGCCGUCUCGGAAAUUGAGGAGCCGGUCGGCCCGCUCAGGGGCGUGGCCAUCGGUGUCCAGCGUGCUGCUCGACGGCCGUUUCUGCAACGUCUGAGGAAGAAGAGAAGGAGGAUAUCAAGCAGGGGAUGUUGGGCUCUAAUGGUUGGAGGUAGCCAUGACUGCCAGUGGUAGCCAGAGAGGUCGUUUGGCUGCUUUGUAUAUGGCACAAGGAGGAAGGGAGCUGGAGACGACGAUGGAACCAAACAAUCCUACAUCAACAACAGGUGCUCCCGAGCGAUGGCGGCGGCGGCAGGGAGCGCGCGCCUGAGCGAGGAAGGGGUUUGAAGUGUCCGUGCCAGCAACCUCACCGUCUCCAACCUAUCUGCAGGUGAGCAACGAAUUUGAGACUUGUUCUUGGUUUUUCUGCAGUUCGUGGAGCGGGUCCGAAGCAGUUGGGUAGCAGCCCUCAAAUUAGGAUUGCUUGCAUAGCAGGAGCAAGCAACGGGGCGCGCCGCCGCUGCCAAGGAGGCGCUGGAGGAGGUGCCGAAGAGGGAGGCUCGGGGCCUUGCGAUGCGUCGCCAGCGCGGCCCGAAGGAGGUGGCCGAGCAGAAGGCUGCGAGCGACGGCGAGGCCGCCACGGUGGAGCACGAGUCGUCCGGCUCCGUGCACGUACCAUGUCUGUCCCGGCCUCUAUUGUUCCCUGUGCUUGACCGUCGAAGUGCUCCUAGAUCGGAUUCACUCGAUUGGAACGGUGAUGCCAGCCAGUGAACUACGGGUUGUCUGCCGCGCCCGCUGGCCGCAGGCGACGACCAGCAUUGAUGCGGGAAUACUGUGGGGAAGAAGAUGCAUCAUCUAGGAGGAAGAUCAGCAUAUAAAUGCUGAGCUGAAGUUCAG
This is a non-coding RNA of Lolium perenne, 4015 nucleotides long. The record is from RefSeq and is a predicted model, not a curated record. Lineage: Eukaryota; Viridiplantae; Streptophyta; Magnoliopsida; Poales; Poaceae.